Molecule: ribosomal RNA, 433 nt
Filed under: uncultured bacterium
Lineage: Bacteria
Description: partial 16S ribosomal RNA
Rfam family: Bacterial small subunit ribosomal RNA
Source: RNAcentral
AACGAACGCUGGCGGCAUGCCUAACACAUGCAAGUCGAACGAGACCUUCGGGUCUAGUGGCGCACGGGUGCGUAACGCGUGGGAACCUGCCCUUAGGUUCGGAAUAACUCCCCGACAGGGGUGCUAAUACCGGAUAAUGUCUUCGGGCCAAAGAUUUAUCGGCUUUGGAUGGGCCCGCGUUGGAUUAGCUAGUUGGUAGGGUAAAAGCCUACCAAGGCGACGAUCCAUAGCUGGUCUGAGAGGAUGAUCAGCCACACUGGGACUGAGACACGGCCCAGACUCCUACGGGAGGCAGCAGUGGGGAAUAUUGGACAAUGGGCGAAAGCCUGAUCCAGCCAUGCCGCGUGAGUGAUGAAGGCCUUAGGGUUGUAAAGCUCUUUUACCCGGGAUGAUAAUGACAGUACCGGGAGAAUAAGCUCCGGCUAACUCCGUG